RNAcentral lists this unclassified non-coding RNA (267 nucleotides) under plant metagenome. RNAcentral describes it as "partial contains small subunit ribosomal RNA, internal transcribed spacer 1, and 5.8S ribosomal RNA". The record is from RNAcentral.
UUUCCGUAGGUGAACCUGCGGAAGGAUCAUUAUCGUACAAAAUGUGAGGGGCAUGCGAGGGCUGUCGCUGACUCAAAAGUCGUGCACGCCCGAGUGUGUCCCCGUGCAUAACAAUCCAUCUCACCCUUUGUGCAUCACCGCGUGGUCACCCUUCGGAAUCAUCUCGGAGGGGGGCUCGCGGUAUCACACAAACCCCCCUUUUAAAAGUGUAGAAUGACCACAUUUAUGCAAUCAAUACAACUUUCAACAACGGAUCUCUUGGCUCUC